Molecule: non-coding RNA, 45 nt
Filed under: Schistosoma mansoni
Lineage: Eukaryota; Metazoa; Platyhelminthes; Trematoda; Strigeidida; Schistosomatidae
Source: RNAcentral
AUCCAGCUGACGAGUGCCAGAUAGGACGAAACGCGCGUCCUGGAU